AGCCCGUUACAUUCAGGAAAACAGCAGCAGCCUUUGCUGCCCAGGACGCCACAGGCAAUGCUCACCUUUGCGCCUGGUUAUCCGGGCGGCGUCCCCAGCUUUCUGCCCUCUAAAGGCACUCACUCUAGUUUCUGUGUUUUGGAAGCAGGUCCAGCUUAACCUCAGGGAGAAGGGAGAAUUAAACUACUUCCUGGAGUGGGCAAGGACCUAAAUAUAUUAUCCAUAAUUCUUCUCCAAGGAAGAUUGCAGACCAAAGGAUUUUAAUCCAACUGCGCCCAAGGUCCACUUAUGGGGUUUUGGUGUAGCUUGCUUCUACAUUACAACAAA
This is a long non-coding RNA of Pipistrellus kuhlii (Kuhl's pipistrelle), 327 nucleotides long. RefSeq lists it as uncharacterized. NCBI's taxonomy places the organism in Eukaryota, Metazoa, Chordata, Mammalia, Chiroptera, Vespertilionidae. The record is from RefSeq and is a predicted model, not a curated record. The transcript has 3 exons.